UACAGAGGGGGCAAGCGUUGUUCGGAAUUACUGGGCGUAAAGGGCGCGUAGGCGGCCAACUAAGUCGGACGUGAAAUCCCCAGGCUCAACCUGGGAACUGCGUCCGAUACUGGAUGGCUUGAAUCCGGGAGAGGGAUGCAGAAUUCCAGGUGUAGCGGUGGAAUGCGUAGAUAUCUGGAAGAACACCGGUGGCGAAGGCGGCUCGCUGGGCUGGUUCUGACACUCAUCCGCGAAAGCGUGGGGAGCAAACAGG
RNAcentral lists this ribosomal RNA (253 nucleotides) under uncultured bacterium. Its description in RNAcentral is "partial 16S ribosomal RNA". It matches the Rfam family "Bacterial small subunit ribosomal RNA", at positions 524 to 776 of the family's 1533-position model. The record is from RNAcentral.